This is a ribosomal RNA of Clostridium pasteurianum, 117 nucleotides long. The record is from Rfam. NCBI's taxonomy places the organism in Bacteria, Bacillati, Bacillota, Clostridia, Eubacteriales, Clostridiaceae.
UCCAGUGUCUAUGACUUAGAGGUAACACUCCUUCCCAUUCCGAACAGGCAGGUUAAGCUCUAAUGUGCUGAUGGUACUGCAGGGGAAGCCCUGUGGAAGAGUAGGUCGACGCUGGGU